UGGGGAAUAUUGGACAAUGGGCGGAAGCCUGAUCCAGCAACGCCGCGUGAGGGAUGACGGCCUUCGGGUUGUAAACCUCUUUCAGUACCGACGAAGCGAAAGUGACGGUAGGUACAGAAGAAGGACCGGCCAACUACGUGCCAGCAGCCGCGGUAAUACGUAGGGUCCGAGCGUUGUCCGGAAUUAUUGGGCGUAAAGGGCUCGUAGGCGGUUUGUCGCGUCGGGAGUGAAAACAGCGGGCUUAACUCGUUGCUUGCUUUCGAUACGGGCAGACUAGAGGUAUGCAGGGGAGAAUGGAAUUCCUGGUGUAGCGGUGAAAUGCGCAGAUAUCAGGAGGAACACCGGUGGCGAAGGCGGUUCUCUGGGCAUUACCUGACGCUGAGGAGCGAAAGUGUGGGGAGCGAACAGGAUUAGAUAACCCUGGGU
This 426-nucleotide ribosomal RNA is filed under the name uncultured bacterium. RNAcentral describes it as "partial 16S ribosomal RNA". It matches the Rfam family "Bacterial small subunit ribosomal RNA", at positions 355 to 792 of the family's 1533-position model. The record is from RNAcentral.